GCAUAAUCUCUGAGGAGAAAAGCAGGGGAUCGCAAGACCUUGCGCUUUUGGAGCGGCCGAUGUCUGAUUAGCUAGUUGGUGAGGUAAAGGCUUACCAAGGCUUCGAUCAGUAGCUGGUCUGAGAGGACGACCAGCCACACUGGGACUGAGACACGGCCCAGACUCCUACGGGAGGCAGCAGUGGGGAAUUUUGGACAAUGGGGGCAACCCUGAUCCAGCCAUGCCGCGUGAGUGAAGAAGGCCUUCGGGUUGUAAAGCUCUUUCAGCCGGAACGAAACGGUCACGGUUAAUAACCGUGAUCACUGACGGUACCGGAAGAAGAAG
RNAcentral lists this ribosomal RNA (324 nucleotides) under uncultured beta proteobacterium. RNAcentral's name for it is "bacterial SSU rRNA". It matches the Rfam family "Bacterial small subunit ribosomal RNA", at positions 171 to 490 of the family's 1533-position model. Lineage: Bacteria; Pseudomonadati; Pseudomonadota; Betaproteobacteria. The record is from RNAcentral.